AGAGUCCUGAUUUGUUCGUUUAUACCGAAUGUUUUGAGCCAACACUUUUUAUCCGGGAGCCUGCGUUUUUGUAAGGCGUGCACGCCCUCUUUUUAAGAGGGACGCAUAAGUUACGAAACAAGGCACCCACCUGCGAAGCAGGUUCAAAACUUAGGAUGUAACGGCAAGAUCGGGACUCUU
RNAcentral lists this non-coding RNA (180 nucleotides) under Fictibacillus macauensis ZFHKF-1. Its description in RNAcentral is "6S / SsrS RNA". It matches the Rfam family "6S / SsrS RNA". From Rfam's summary of the family: E. coli 6S RNA was the first non coding RNA to be sequenced, but its function was unknown until recently. Lineage: Bacteria; Bacillati; Bacillota; Bacilli; Caryophanales; Fictibacillaceae. The record is from Rfam by way of RNAcentral.